RNAcentral lists this ribosomal RNA (936 nucleotides) under uncultured bacterium. RNAcentral's name for it is "bacterial SSU rRNA". It matches the Rfam family "Bacterial small subunit ribosomal RNA", at positions 557 to 1499 of the family's 1533-position model. The record is from RNAcentral.
GUUUUAAAGGGUGCGCAGGCGGCUUGUUAAGCGGGGAGGUGAAAUGCCCGGCGCUCAACGUCGGAAGUGCCUCCCCGAACUGGUGAGCUUGAAUGACUCUGCCGUGGGAGGAAUGUGUAGUGUAGCGGUGAAAUGCUUAGAGAUUACACAGAACACCGAUUGGCGAAGGCAUCUCACGAAGGGUUGAUUGACGCUGAGGCACGAAAGCGUGGGGAUCAAACAGGGAUUAGAUACCCUGGUAGUCCACGCAGUAAACGAUGAUGGCUAACCGCUGGGUCAUACGAUUCAGUGGCCAAGCGAAAGCGAUAAGCCAUCCACCUGGGGAGUACGACCGCAAGGUUGAAACUCAAAGGAAUUGACGGGGGCCCGCACAAGCGGAGGAACAUGUGGUUUAAUUCGAUGAUACGCGAGGAACCUUACCCGGGCUCGAACGGCUGGUGAAGAGAUCCAGAGAUGGUGACGUCCUUCGGGACACCAGUCGAGGUGCUGCAUGGUUGUCGUCAGCUCGUGCCGUGAGGUGUCGGCUCAAGUGCCAUAACGAGCGCAACCCUUGCCGUCAGUUACCAUCAAGUAGUGUUGGGGACUCUGGCGGGACUGCCACCGCAAGGUGUGAGGAAGGGGGGGAUGACGUCAAAUCAGCACGGCCCUUACGUCCGGGGCGACACACGUGUUACAAUGGCGGCCACAGAGGGGCACUACCUGGCGACAGGAUGGGAAUCUCGAAAAGCCGUCUCAGUCCGGAUCGGAGUCUGCAACCCGACUCCGUGAAGCUGGAUUCGCUAGUAAUCGCGCAUCAGCCAUGGCGCGGUGAAUACGUUCCCGGGCCUUGUACACACCGCCCGUCAAGCCAUGAAAGUCUGGGGCGCCUGAAGUCCGUGACCGAGAGGAGCGGCCUAGGGCGAAACAGGUAAUUGGGGCUAAGUCGUAACAAGGUAA